This 76-nucleotide transfer RNA is filed under the name Pseudomonadota bacterium. Its description in RNAcentral is "tRNA-Asn". It matches the Rfam family "tRNA". From Rfam's summary of the family: Transfer RNA (tRNA) molecules are approximately 80 nucleotides in length. Their secondary structure includes four short double-helical elements and three loops (D, anti-codon, and T loops). Further hydrogen bonds mediate the characteristic L-shaped molecular structure. tRNAs have two regions of fundamental functional importance: the anti-codon, which is responsible for specific mRNA codon recognition, and the 3' end, to which the tRNAs corresponding amino acid is attached (by aminoacyl-tRNA synthetases). tRNAs cope with the degeneracy of the genetic code in two manners: having more than one tRNA (with a specific anti-codon) for a particular amino acid; and 'wobble' base-pairing, i.e. permitting non-standard base-pairing at the 3rd anti-codon position. RNAcentral also lists the same sequence under 1 other name. The record is from RNAcentral. Lineage: Bacteria; Pseudomonadati; Pseudomonadota.
UCCGGUGUAGCUCAGUUGGUAGAGCACCUGACUGUUAAUCAGGUUGUCACAGGUUCGAGCCCUGUCACCGGAGCCA